RNAcentral lists this ribosomal RNA (393 nucleotides) under uncultured bacterium. RNAcentral describes it as "partial 16S ribosomal RNA". It matches the Rfam family "Bacterial small subunit ribosomal RNA", at positions 523 to 918 of the family's 1533-position model. The record is from RNAcentral.
ACACGUAAGUUGCGAGCGUUGUUCGGAAUUAUUGGGCGUAAAGGGCAUGUAGGCGGUUCUGCAAGUCUGGUGUGAAAUGCCGGGGCUCAACCCCGGAACUGCGUUGGAAACUGCGGAACUGGAGUCGCUGAGGGGCAGCCAGAAUUCCAGGUGUAGGGGUGAAAUCUGUAGAUAUCUGGAAGAAUACCAAUGGCGAAGGCAGGCUGCCAGCAGAUGACUGACGCUGAGGUGCGAAGGUGCGGGGAGCAAACAGGAUUAGAUACCCUGGUAGUCCGCACAGUCAACUAUGUACACUGGGUGUCCGUUCAUGAGAAUGGGUGCCGAAGCAAACGCGAUAAGUGUACCGCCUGGGGAGUAUGCCCGCAAGGGUGAAACUUAAAGGAAUUGACGGGG